CAGGGAGUGAGGGGUGUCCCCUCAGCCAGGAUUGCAAGAGGGCGCAGCCCAGGCUGGGGGACCCCACCAGUGCAUG
RNAcentral lists this microRNA precursor (76 nucleotides) under Myotis davidii. RNAcentral describes it as "mir-9193 microRNA precursor family". It matches the Rfam family "mir-9193 microRNA precursor family". Lineage: Eukaryota; Metazoa; Chordata; Mammalia; Chiroptera; Vespertilionidae. The record is from Rfam by way of RNAcentral.